AUUGAACGCUGGCGGCAGGCCUAACACAUGCAAGUCGAACGGUAACAGGAAGAAGCUUGCUUCUUUGCUGACGAGUGGCGGACGGGUGAGUAAUGUCUGGGAAACUGCCUGAUGGAGGGGGAUAACUACUGGAAACGGUAGCUAAUACCGCAUAACGUCGCAAGACCAAAAAGGGGGACCUUCGGGCCUCUUGCCAUCGGAUGUGCCCAGAUGGGAUUAGCUAGUAGGUGGGGUAACGGCUCACCUAGGCGACGAUCCCUAGCUGGUCUGAGAGGAUGACCAGCCACACUGGAACUGAGACACGGUCCAGACUCCUACGGGAGGCAGCAGUGGGGAAUAUUGCACAAUGGGCGCAAGCCUGAUGCAGCCAUGCCGCGUGUAUGAAGGAGGCCUUCGGGUUGUAAAGUACUUUCAGCGGGGAGGAAGGGAGUAAAGUUAAUACCUUUGCUCAUUGACGUUACCCGCAGAAGAAGCACCGGCUAACUCCGUG
This 490-nucleotide ribosomal RNA is filed under the name uncultured bacterium. RNAcentral's name for it is "partial 16S ribosomal RNA". It matches the Rfam family "Bacterial small subunit ribosomal RNA", at positions 30 to 507 of the family's 1533-position model. The record is from RNAcentral.